This 511-nucleotide ribosomal RNA is filed under the name uncultured bacterium. Its description in RNAcentral is "bacterial SSU rRNA". It matches the Rfam family "Bacterial small subunit ribosomal RNA", at positions 791 to 1308 of the family's 1533-position model. The record is from RNAcentral.
UAGUCCACGCCGUAAACGAUGGUUACUAGCUGUUUGGACUUUUGUCUGAGUGGCUAAGCGAAAGUGAUAAGUAACCCACCUGGGGAGUACGAUCGCAAGAUUGAAACUCAAAGGAAUUGACGGGGGCCCGCACAAGCGGUGGAGCAUGUGGUUUAAUUCGAUGAUACGCGAGGAACCUUACCAGGGCUUAAAUGUAUUGUGACAUGGGCAGAGAUGCCUUUUUCUUCGGACACAUUACAAGGUGCUGCAUGGUUGUCGUCAGCUCGUGCCGUGAGGUGUCAGGUUAAGUCCUAUAACGAGCGCAACCCCUGUUGUUAGUUACCAGCACGUCGUGGUGGGGACUCUAACAAGACUGCCGGUGCAAACCGUGAGGAAGGUGGGGAUGACGUCAAAUCAUCACGGCCCUUACGUCCUGGGCUACACACGUGCUACAAUGGUAGGUACAGAGAGCAGCCACCUCGCAAGGGGGAGCGAAUCUAUAAACUCGUUCUAAGUUCGGAUUGUAGGCUGC